GACGAACGCUGGCGGCGUGCUUAACACAUGCAAGUCGAACGGAAAGGCCCUGCUUUUGUGGGGUGCUCGAGUGGCGAACGGGUGAGUAACACGUGAGUAACCUGCCCUUGACUUUGGGAUAACUUCAGGAAACUGGGGCUAAUACCGGAUAGGAGCUCCUGCUGCAUGGUGGGGGUUGGAAAGUUUCGGCGGUUGGGGAUGGACUCGCGGCUUAUCAGCUUGUUGGUGGGGUAGUGGCUUACCAAGGCUUUGACGGGUAGCCGGCCUGAGAGGGUGACCGGCGACAUGGGGACUGAGAGACGGCCCAGACUCCUACGGGGGGCAGCAGUGGGGAAUAUUGCACAAUGGGCGGAAGCCUGAUGCAGCAACGCCGCGUGCGGGAUGACGGCCUUCGGGUUGUAAACCGCUUUCGCCUGUGACGAAGCGUGAGUGACGGUAAUGGGUAAAGAAGCACCGGCUAACUACGUG
This 468-nucleotide ribosomal RNA is filed under the name uncultured bacterium. Its description in RNAcentral is "partial 16S ribosomal RNA". It matches the Rfam family "Bacterial small subunit ribosomal RNA", at positions 28 to 507 of the family's 1533-position model. The record is from RNAcentral.